GGAGAGGUGUCCGAGCGGCUUAAGGAGCACGAUUGGAAAUCGUGUGUGGGGGAAACUCCACCGGGGGUUCAAAUCCCCCCCUCUCCGCCA
RNAcentral lists this transfer RNA (90 nucleotides) under Candidatus Adiutrix sp. RNAcentral's name for it is "tRNA-Ser". It matches the Rfam family "tRNA". Rfam says of the family: Transfer RNA (tRNA) molecules are approximately 80 nucleotides in length. Their secondary structure includes four short double-helical elements and three loops (D, anti-codon, and T loops). The record is from RNAcentral. Lineage: Bacteria; Pseudomonadati; Thermodesulfobacteriota; Desulfarculia; Candidatus Adiutricales; Candidatus Adiutricaceae.